AAGUAGUGAGAAACCAGGACCUUUACCUUGAAAAAAUUAGAGUGUUCAAAGCAGGCUUAUGUCUGAAUACAUUAGCAUAGAAUAAUAAAAUAGGACGGUGGUCAUGUUUUGUUGGUUUCUGAAUCACCGUAAUGAUUAAUAGAGAUAGUUGGGGCAUUAAUAUUAAUUGUUAGAGGUAAAAUUCUUGGAUUUAUUGAAGACUAAUUUCUGCGAAAGCAUUUGCCAAGGAUGUUUUCAUUAAUCAAAAACAAAAGUUAGGGGAUCGAAGAUGAUUAGAUACCGUCGUAGUCUUAACCAUAAACUAUGCCGACUAGGGAUCGGAUGAUAUUAAUUUUUCUUGACUCGUUCAGCGCCUUAUG
RNAcentral lists this ribosomal RNA (359 nucleotides) under uncultured Racocetra. RNAcentral's name for it is "SSU rRNA". It matches the Rfam family "Eukaryotic small subunit ribosomal RNA", at positions 730 to 1092 of the family's 1831-position model. The record is from RNAcentral. Lineage: Eukaryota; Fungi; Glomeromycota; Glomeromycetes; Diversisporales; Gigasporaceae.